UGUGGUUGUACCCCAACAGCAGAAUGGUGUGGUUGUAUAUGUGUCAUUAAAAAUAUUAAUGCGAGUAGAAAGCCUACUUGCCAGCUCCUCAGGAGGUGGGCUUUUCUGUGUUGGAACAGUGUGGUUGUACCCCAACAGCAGAACGGUGUGGUUGUAUAUGUGUUAUUAAAAAUAUUAAUGCGAGUAGAAAGCCUACUUUCCAGCUCCUCAGGAGGUGGGCUUUUCUGUGUUGGAAUGGUGUGGUUGUACCCCAACAGCAGAACGGUGUGGUUGUAUAUGUGUUAUUAAAAAUAUUAAUGCGAGUAGAAAGCCUACUUUCCAGCUCCUCAGGAGGUGGGCUUUUCUGUGUUGGAAUGGUGUGGUUGUACCCCAACAGCAGAACGGUGUGGUUGUAGACAGCCUACUUGCCAGCUCCUCAGGAGGUAGGCUUUUCUGUGUUGGAAUGGUGUGGUUGUACCCCAACAGCAGAACGGUGUGGUUGUAGACAGCCUACUUGCCAGCUCCUCAGGAGGUGGGCUUUUCUGUGUUGGAACGGUGUGGUUGUACCCCAACAGCAGAACGGUGUGGUUGUAGACAGCCUACUUGCCAGCUCCUCAGGAGGUGGGCUUUUCUGUGUUUUUUUUCUCCAAUGUAUUAUUUGGCCACAAAUACGAGUAUAGGACGAGUCAACAACAUUAUUUGUGUACGAGUUAACAUAUUAACAUU
This is a non-coding RNA of Oncorhynchus mykiss (rainbow trout), 705 nucleotides long. NCBI's taxonomy places the organism in Eukaryota, Metazoa, Chordata, Actinopteri, Salmoniformes, Salmonidae. The record is from RefSeq and is a predicted model, not a curated record.